GACGAACGCUGGCGGCGUGCUUAACAAAUGCAAGUCGAACGGAAAGGCCCUGCUUUUGUGGGGUGCUCGAGUGGCGAACGGGUGAGUAACACGUGAGUAACCUGCCCUGGACUUUGGGAUAACUUCAGGAAACUGGGGCUAAUACCGGAUAGGAGCUCCUGCUGCAUGGUGGGGGUUGGAAAGUUUCGGCGGUUGGGGAUGGACUCGCGGCUUAUCAGCUUGUUGGUGGGGUAGUGGCUUACCAAGGCUUUGACGGGUAGCCGGCCUGAGAGGGUGACCGGCCACAUUGGGACUGAGAUACGGCCCAGACUCCUACGGGAGGCAGCAGUGGGGAAUAUUGCACAAUGGGCGGAAGCCUGAUGCAGCAACGCCGCGUGCGGGAUGACGGCCUUCGGGUUGUAAACCGCUUUCGCCUGUGACGAAGCGUGAGUGACGGUAAUGGGUAAAGAAGCACCGGCUAACUACGUG
RNAcentral lists this ribosomal RNA (468 nucleotides) under uncultured bacterium. RNAcentral describes it as "partial 16S ribosomal RNA". It matches the Rfam family "Bacterial small subunit ribosomal RNA", at positions 28 to 507 of the family's 1533-position model. The record is from RNAcentral.